GCCGGGGUGGCGAAACGGCAGACGCGGGGGACUUAAAAUCCCCUGUCCCGAAGGACGUGCGGGUUCGAGCCCCGCCCCCGGCA
This 83-nucleotide transfer RNA is filed under the name Myxococcota bacterium. RNAcentral's name for it is "tRNA-Leu". It matches the Rfam family "tRNA". From Rfam's summary of the family: Transfer RNA (tRNA) molecules are approximately 80 nucleotides in length. Their secondary structure includes four short double-helical elements and three loops (D, anti-codon, and T loops). Lineage: Bacteria; Pseudomonadati; Myxococcota. The record is from RNAcentral.